ACACUGAUGCUCCAGCAGUGAGGAAAGGAAGGGUUGGAAGCAGGGAGUAUAAAAGAACUGGGGUGACACUUGGGGGAAGGUAGCAAGUGGAGAUGAGGAAGAGGCAGCAUUUAUGUCAGGGAAAGCAGAGCAAACAGAAGAAAGUACGCUGAGCGAAAGUCACCUUUUGAAAGGAGGGGGUAACAGUCCUAUGGCUUCAAGAAAAGGACUCCAAAAGGACUCAUUAACUUUUGCACUUCCAGUGCAAGCCCUUCUAACAAGGUAGGAAAUUAGUGAAUUACAACCUAAUGUACUUGGGCAUAAUUUGCUUUCAGAACACAAAGAAGUCUCUCUGAACGACAUUUUAAAGGGUAAGGUAUGCAUUUUAAGAGGUGCUUCUGUGUUUUUCUACAUAGGCAAUGACUCCCCGUUUGGCAGCCAACAAGCCCGGUGGCCAAUGGAUGAUAUUCACCAUUAUUUUUACAAGCCUUAAAGAUACCUUGUGUAUGCAUGCUUUAUUACCCUUAGACCCCACUCAACUCUUCCUCUCUGUUAGCUAACAUCCCUGGGAAGAG
This 554-nucleotide long non-coding RNA is filed under the name Pogona vitticeps (central bearded dragon). Its description in RNAcentral is "lncRNA (ENSPVIG00000012495.1)". Lineage: Eukaryota; Metazoa; Chordata; Lepidosauria; Squamata; Agamidae. The record is from RNAcentral.